GCGGCGGUUCCCUAGCCUGGUAGGGGGCAGGCCUGCUAAGCCUGUGGCCCAUCGGGCCUCGAGGGUUCAAAUCCCUCCCGCCGCG
Molecule: transfer RNA, 85 nt
Filed under: Nitrososphaerota archaeon
Lineage: Archaea; Thermoproteati; Nitrososphaerota
Also listed under: 1 other name
Description: Thaumarchaeota archaeon tRNA-Ser
Rfam family: tRNA
About the family: Transfer RNA (tRNA) molecules are approximately 80 nucleotides in length.
Source: RNAcentral